RNAcentral lists this long non-coding RNA (229 nucleotides) under Elaeis guineensis (African oil palm). RNAcentral describes it as "long non-coding RNA (EGUI_LNC041564)". Lineage: Eukaryota; Viridiplantae; Streptophyta; Magnoliopsida; Arecales; Arecaceae. The record is from RNAcentral.
GGUGGACUAAAUUAUAUAAUUUAUUUCUAAACCAUCCCAAAAAAAUUUGACGAAUAAUCCCUUGCGACAAUAAAAAUCUAUAACAUCUUUAAUAGAAAAAUAUAACUUCUUGAAUGCUGUCCUUAAUCUGCAGCAGAUGAUGCACCACAGCAGUCCGAUCCCUGAAACCAUCAAUUGAUGUUGAUCCUCCAUCAAAAAGAUCAGACUCUAUAUAGAAACUAAGGCCAGC